GCCUGCCUGGCUUAGUCAGUAGAGCAUGCGACUCUUAAUCUUAGAGUUGUGAGUUUGAGCCCCACGUUGGGUG
RNAcentral lists this transfer RNA (73 nucleotides) under Ailuropoda melanoleuca (giant panda). It matches the Rfam family "tRNA". Rfam says of the family: Transfer RNA (tRNA) molecules are approximately 80 nucleotides in length. Lineage: Eukaryota; Metazoa; Chordata; Mammalia; Carnivora; Ursidae. The record is from Rfam by way of RNAcentral.